Molecule: long non-coding RNA, 246 nt
Filed under: Lathyrus oleraceus (garden pea)
Lineage: Eukaryota; Viridiplantae; Streptophyta; Magnoliopsida; Fabales; Fabaceae
Description: Pisum sativum (pea) long non-coding RNA (PSAT_LNC017369)
Source: RNAcentral
UGUGUAUGAGCGUGAAAUAGAAAAUGAGAAUUAACAACUUAUCCAAUCUUCCAAGUCUUCUUUAUAUAGGUGGUUAAAUGAUCCGUUUGAGGGUAGAAUUGGAAUAGAAAAAUUGCAGUUGGCUCUUUGUAUAAUGGUUUGCAUAUAGGAGACAAAAUGGUACAAUAGUAUUGACCUUAGCCCACAAAAUUAGCAUAGUGGAUGGAAGAUUAAUAUUUUACUGUGUACUAUUUUCCUGACGCAAAA